RNAcentral lists this ribosomal RNA (696 nucleotides) under uncultured bacterium. RNAcentral's name for it is "bacterial SSU rRNA". It matches the Rfam family "Bacterial small subunit ribosomal RNA", at positions 1 to 737 of the family's 1533-position model. The record is from RNAcentral.
UAGAGUUUGAUCCUGGCUCAGGAUGAACGCUGGCGGUAUGCCUAACACAUGCAAGUCGUACGAGAGUUUUUAACUCUAGUGGCGGACGGGUGAGUAACACGUGAGAAUUUGCCUUUAGGAGGGGGAUAACAAUUGGAAACGAAUGCUAAUACCCCAUAUGCUUUCGAGUGAAAUGGAUUUAUAUUUAUCCGCCUAGAGAGAAGCUCGCGGCUGAUUAGCUUGUUGGUAAGGUAAGAGCUUACCAAGGCGACGAUCAGUAUCUGGUUUGAGAGGACGAUCAGACACACUGGAACUGAGACACGGUCCAGACUCCUACGGGAGGCAGCAGUGGGGAAUUUUCCGCAAUGGGCGAAAGCCUGACGGAGCAAUACCGCGUGAGGGAAGACUGCCUAUGGGUUGUAAACCUCUUUUUUCAGGGAGGAAUCAAUGACGUGUACCUGAAGAAUAAGCAUCGGCUAACUCCGUGCCAGCAGCCGCGGUAAGACGGAGGAUGCAAGUGUUAUCCGGAAUCACUGGGCGUAAAGCGUCUGUAGGUGGUUUAAUAAGUCAACUGUUAAAUCUUGAGGCUCAACUUCAAAAUCGCAGUCAAAACUAUUAGACUAGAGUAUAGUAGAGGUAAAGGGAAUUUCCAGUGGAGCGGUGAAAUGCGUAGAUAUUGGAAAGAACACCGAUGGCGAAAGCACUUUACUGGGCUAU